This 525-nucleotide ribosomal RNA is filed under the name uncultured bacterium. Its description in RNAcentral is "bacterial SSU rRNA". It matches the Rfam family "Bacterial small subunit ribosomal RNA", at positions 373 to 909 of the family's 1533-position model. The record is from RNAcentral.
GGGCGCAGCCUGAUGCAGCGACGCCGCGUGAGGGAUGACGGCCUUCGGGUUGUAAACCUCUUUCAGUAGGGAAGAAGGGUAAGUGACGGUACCUGUUGGAGAAGCGCCGGAUAACUACGUGCCAGCAGCCGCGGUAAUACGUAGGGCGCAAGCGUUAUCCGGAAUUAUUGGGCGUAAAGAGCUCGUAGGCGGUUUGUCGCGUCUGCCGUGAAAGUCCGGGGCUCAACUCCGGAUCUGCGGUGGGUACGGGCAGACUAGAGUGAUGUAGGGGAGACUGGAAUUCCUGUUGUAGCGGUGAAAUGCGCAGAUAUCAGGAGGAACACCGAUGGCGAAGGCAGGUCUCUGGGCAUUAACUGACGCUGAGGAGCGAAAGCAUGGGGAGCGAACAGGAUUAGAUACCCUGGUAGUCCAUGCCGUAAACGUUGGGCACUAGGUGUGGGGGACAUUCCACGUUUUCUGCGCCGUAGCUAACGCAUUAAGUGCCCCGCCUGGGGAGUACGGCCGCAAGGCUAAAACUCAAAGGAA